UUUUCAGACAAUCAGAGGAAGGUCAAAUCGGCUGGCAAAACACGAGACGCCCAAACAACUUGACUGACCUCAGAGUCAGUUAUUUAAAUGAUGCAGAAGUGGUCGUCUGCGACAAACAAGUCAACAAACAGCGUUAUCCGUCACCAAAGAAUAACCAAAGACGACCAGCCCCGCCCACACCAAAGGAUUCUAAUGUCUACGGCAACAUUUGAAUAAACAGCCUGAGCAUCGAUUUGGAUACGCUUUCUCUUCUUCUGCUGUCAAGUUUCAAUUUAUACUUCACUACUUCAUUUAUGAUCAUGUUAUUCUCGCUUGCUCUGCUUUUCACUUCAAUGGCAAAUGUUUACUUUUCAAUUAAGGAAGAAAUAAACAAUAAUUAAUCACUAA
Poecilia reticulata (guppy) is the source of this 387-nucleotide non-coding RNA. NCBI's taxonomy places the organism in Eukaryota, Metazoa, Chordata, Actinopteri, Cyprinodontiformes, Poeciliidae. The record is from RefSeq and is a predicted model, not a curated record.